CGUAGGCGGUUUGGUCAGUUGGAUGUGAAAGCCCCGGGCUUAACCUGGGAAUUGCAUUCAAUACUGCCAGGCUAGAGUACGGUAGAGGGGGGUAGAAUUCCACGUGUAGCGGUGAAAUGCGUAGAGAUGUGGAGGAAUACCAGUGGCGAAGGCGGCCCCCUGGACUGAUACUGACGCUGAGGUGCGAAAGCGUGGGGAGCAAACA
This 205-nucleotide ribosomal RNA is filed under the name uncultured bacterium. Its description in RNAcentral is "partial 16S ribosomal RNA". It matches the Rfam family "Bacterial small subunit ribosomal RNA", at positions 570 to 774 of the family's 1533-position model. The record is from RNAcentral.